Molecule: ribosomal RNA, 451 nt
Filed under: uncultured bacterium
Lineage: Bacteria
Description: partial 16S ribosomal RNA
Rfam family: Bacterial small subunit ribosomal RNA
Source: RNAcentral
GUGGGGAAUUUUGCGCAAUGGGGGAAACCCUGACGCAGCAACGCCGCGUGAGUGAUGAAGGCCUUCGGGUCGUAAAGCUCUGUCAGAGGGGAAGAAAUGCAGGGGUGCUAAUAUCAUCUUUGCUUGACGGUACCCUCAAAGGAAGCACCGGCUAACUCCGUGCCAGCAGCCGCGGUAAUACGGAGGGUGCGAGCGUUGUUCGGAAUUAUUGGGCGUAAAGCGCGUGUAGGCGGUUUGGUAAGUCUGAUGUGAAAGCCCCGGGCUCAACCUGGGAAGUGCAUUGGAAACUGUCAGACUUGAAUACGGGAGAGGGUAGUGGAAUUCCUAGUGUAGGAGUGAAAUCCGUAGAUAUUAGGAGGAACACCGGUGGCGAAGGCGGCUACCUGGACCGAUAUUGACGCUGAGACGCGAAAGCGUGGGGAUCAAACAGGAUUAGAAACCCGUGUAGUCC